AGUGAACGCUGGCGGUAGGCCUAACACAUGCAAGUCGAACGGCAGCACAGCAAGAGCUUGCUCUUACGGGUGGCGAGUGGCGGACGGGUGAGGAAUACAUCGGAAUCUACUUUUUCGUGGGGGAUAACGUAGGGAAACUUACGCUAAUACCGCAUACGACCUACGGGUGAAAGCAGGGGAUCUUCGGACCUUUCGCGAUUGAAUGAGCCGAUGUCGGAUUAGCUAGUUGGCGGGGUAAAGGCCCACCAAGGCGACGACCCGUAGCUGGUCUGAGAGGAUGAUCAGCCACACUGGAACUGAGACACGGUCCAGACUCCUACGGGAGGCAGCAGUGGGGAAUAUUGGACAAUGGGCGCAAGCCUGAUCCAGCCAUACCGCGUGGGUGAAGAAGGCCUUCGGGUUGUAAAGCCCUUUUGUUGGGAAAGAAAAGCAGCAGGUUAAUACCCCGCUGUUCUGACGGUACCCAAAGAAUAAGCACCGGCUAACUUCGUG
This 492-nucleotide ribosomal RNA is filed under the name uncultured bacterium. RNAcentral's name for it is "partial 16S ribosomal RNA". It matches the Rfam family "Bacterial small subunit ribosomal RNA", at positions 29 to 507 of the family's 1533-position model. The record is from RNAcentral.